UCCGAAAACAAAGAACCCUCAAAACAUAAAUAUAAAAUUCUCCAAAAGUGUUAUAAGUUCUAAUCUCUAAUGGGUGUAUUUUCUAAUAUUGUAAAAAAACCUAUUAAUAGUCUAAAUUUGUAGGUCAAAUAAUAAAAUAAUCUAGACUAAUCAGAGUUUGAUUGAAACAAAUAAACAGAGUGUUGUAGGCCAAUUUUGGCCCGUUUACAUCCAAACCCGAGUGGCCCAAUUACUAAACCUAACCCACCUAAGUUAAACCCACUAACCCAUCAUAACACAAACCCAAACCCAAGCCCAAUUUCAAACCCUAGCCCAAUACCUAAAAUAAAAAAAGAAAAACCCUAAAAAAAUCAGCUAGCCGCCGCCCCUAUGGCCAACUGCCCUCUACCACCACCACUGUGGCCACCAUCCCUUUGCACCUGCAAAAAAUAAAGAUAGAAGUGACAACAAUAAUAAAAUUUCUUGUAAAAUGGCUAUAUAAAAGCCUAGAAAUCGGUUUGUAAAAAAAAAAGAUUUUUUUUUGUGGUAAGAAUACAAACAUUCUAUUUCAAAAGCAAAAACGAAAAACAGCAACUCUAGCAAUAUUAUAGCACGAGAAUAGCACCAAGUCAAGCAACCAAAACAUCGAUAUCAUAAUCAAAGGCCUAAGGUGAUUUUAGUUUUUAUUUUAGUUUUAUUUUUGAAUCUAUUAACUUGCAUAAACUUAUAUAUAUUAUAAAUACAAAAAAAAUUAUAUAUUAAAAAUACAAAAAAAUAAUAAAUACCUUUUUGAAAUUUCUGGCCACCGUGCGCGGUGGCCGGCGACGGUGGCCAGUGGUGGUUGGCGAAGGCGGCCGACGGCAGUCCGGCGACCGGACGGUGACCGGCCUUGUGGCCAGAAAUCACCCACCCUCUCCCUCUCUCUCUCCCUCUCUUUUUUC
Molecule: long non-coding RNA, 920 nt
Filed under: Gossypium barbadense (sea-island cotton)
Lineage: Eukaryota; Viridiplantae; Streptophyta; Magnoliopsida; Malvales; Malvaceae
Description: long non-coding RNA (GBAR_LNC010997)
Source: RNAcentral